GGGUUGUGAGGUUAAGCGACUAAGCGUACACGGUGGAUGCCCUGGCAGUCAGAGGCGAUGAAGGACGUGCUAAUCUGCGAUAAGCGUCGGUAAGGUGAUAUGAACCGUUAUAACCGGCGAUUUCCGAAUGGGGAAACCCAGUGUGAUUCGUCACACUAUCAUUAACUGAAUCCAUAGGUUAAUGAGGCGAACCGGGGGAACUGAAACAUCUAAGUACCCCGAGGAAAAGAAAUCAACCGAGAUUCCCCCAGUAGCGGCGAGCGAACGGGGAGCAGCCCAGAGCCUGAAUCAGUGUGUGUGUUAGUGGAAGCGUCUGGAAAGGCGCGCGAUACAGGGUGACAG
This 342-nucleotide ribosomal RNA is filed under the name Escherichia coli. Its description in RNAcentral is "bacterial LSU rRNA". It matches the Rfam family "Bacterial large subunit ribosomal RNA", at positions 1 to 370 of the family's 2925-position model. The record is from RNAcentral. Lineage: Bacteria; Pseudomonadati; Pseudomonadota; Gammaproteobacteria; Enterobacterales; Enterobacteriaceae.